AGAAGGUAAAAGAAACAAUGUGGUUUAAGUCAAGGUGAAAAUAGAUAUGAAAAUAGAUAACUAAUAUAGUUUCCCUUCUUCACAUUAUGUGUGAUAACUUGAGAAAUAUGUUGUCAAUACUAUUAAAAUGAGAAAAAAACGUAAUGGUACUUAGGGGAUUACAGUUUUUGCAUAAAUACUAUAUUGGGCUUUAUUAAAGUUUAUGAAAAUAGAAUGCAUGUAUAUGCAUUUUAUAUUUAUGCACAUAAAUGAAACAUUUUCAAAUCUCUGAACAGAUAUUGAAGUAUUAGCUAUCCUGUGGCGCCAUCGUGUGGAUAUCAUUAGCAUUGUGGCCUUCAUUUCUGAACAACAUUAUGAAAGGGGCCAAUAUUUUUUGAAUGAUUACAAAUGUUUAAUGAUUAGUUCACUGAUAAUAUACCCACAUUAAAAUCGAAUUUACUGAUUCUGUAUCUUAUUUCAUGCUUUAAGAGUUUAUUUUUCAACUUACAUUUUCAAGUAGUGAUGAAUGAUAACUAUGUGAGUUGAUAAAUUAUUUUUUUGCAAUUAUAAUACAUAAACUAUAUAAUGAUGACAAAAUUACAACAGUUAUUUUUUUCAUAAUAUUUAUUAUUGACAAUACAAAAUAUAGACAUAUAAAAAAAGCUGCCAAGACGAAUGAUUUGUCUUGCACCGAAAAGCCAGAAUCAGCGUCCUCUGUAACUCGAGAGAUCGAUGCAAUGUCUUUUUCUGCCCUAAGACAAAAAAAUAUCUCACCAGCACUCAUUUUCUCUAUAAUAUAUUCUUCUAAUUGUUUUGUACUGAUUCGCUGGAGUGUUUUAAUGUAAAAGGCUGUAGUUUCAGUAUGUAGACCUUUUUCCCCAUGCCAGUGUUGAAGUCUCGAGCCGUCAGAGAGUCUGCUGCAAAUCAUUCAAUUUCACCAUUUACCAGCUCACAAAAAUCUGCAUUUAGCCGAUGGUGUGUUCUAAUGGGUGGAUUGUGUGCAAUCGCUGUAAUAUUUUAUUUUUAAAAGGUCUUAAACAGGAAUAAACUCGUUUGUUGUGAGAUCGUUGUGAAGCCGCGGGGUCUCGCCUUGUCAAAAUAGCUGACGCAAAUCCUUCAUUUUCCACACUUCAACAGCUGAAAAACACCCACUUUUAGCUCUUGGUUUGUUCUAAUGGGUUGAUUGUGUGCAAUCGCUGUAAUAUUUUAUUUUUAAAAGGUCUUAAACAAGAAUAAAUUCGUUUCUUGCGAGCUCGUUGUGUCACUGCACGAGAAGCCGCGCCGUCUCGCGCUGUCAAAAGAGCUGACGCAAAUCCUUCAUUUUCCACACUUCAACAGCUGAAAAACACCCACUUUUAGCUCUUGGUUUGUUCUAAUGGGUGGAUUGUGUGCAAUCGCUGAAAUCUUUUAUUUUUAAAAGGUCUUAAACAGGAAUAAAGUCGUUUGUUGUGAGGUCGUUGUGAAGCCGCGCGGUCUCGCGUUGUCAAAAUAGAUGACGCAAAUCCUUCAUUUUCCACACUUCAACAGCUGAAAAACACCCUCUUUUAGCUCUUGGUUUGUUCUAUUGGGCGGAUUGUGUGCAAUCGCUGUAAUAUUUUAUUUUUAAAAGGUCUUAAACAAGAAUAAAUUCGUUUCUUGCGAGCUCGUUGUGUCACUGCACGAGAAGCCGCGCCGUCUCGCGCUGUCAAAAGAGCUGAUGCAAAUCGUUCAUUUUCCACACUUCAACAGCUGAAAAACACCCACUUUUAGCUCUUGGUUUGUUCUAAUGGGUGGAUUGUGUGCAAUCGCUGUAAUAUUUUAUUUUUAAAAGGUCCUAAAUAAGAAUAAAUUCGUUUCUUGUGAGCUCGUAGUGCGAGUGCAGGAGAAGCCGCGCCGUCUCGCGCUGUCAAAAGAGCUGACGCAAAUCGUUCAUUUUCAAACUUCAACAGCGGAAAAACACCCACUU
This is a long non-coding RNA of Cyprinus carpio carpio, 1924 nucleotides long. The record is from Ensembl. Lineage: Eukaryota; Metazoa; Chordata; Actinopteri; Cypriniformes; Cyprinidae.